This 3451-nucleotide ribosomal RNA is filed under the name Triticum aestivum (bread wheat). Its description in RNAcentral is "partial small subunit ribosomal RNA". Lineage: Eukaryota; Viridiplantae; Streptophyta; Magnoliopsida; Poales; Poaceae. The record is from RNAcentral.
CUCUCCUCUCCACUCCCCCCUACCUCGCCGCCUCCGCCGCGCUUGUUCCUCCCACCCCGCGGCGCCGCCCCCCGACGCUUCUGCCUCUCUGCUCUUCCCGAGGUAUCCGGGGGAAGGGCGACGGCACACUGGUGGCCCAGCGGCGAUGGUGACGGCUGCGCCGGCGAAGGAAUCUCACCGACAUUAGCUCCGAGCUUCAAGGAAUGGACAGUGUUCCAGCUCUCGCGCUCUGCUGCCUAAUCUUGCUACCGAGCUGGGCCAAUGGCCUCGGCUCCAUGGGAUCCAUCUCGGUGUCCUACGGCGAGGACGGCCCGGUGUUCUGCGGCCUCAGCUCGGACGGCUCCCACUUGGUCACCUGCUCCGGCGCGGACGCAUCUGUCGUCUACGGUGCUCCCCUCAGGAUCCCCUUCCUCGGCCUCACCGCGGGGGAUGGGUUCGCGUGCGGUCUCUUGCUUGAUACCAGUCAGCCUUACUGCUGGGGGAGCAACUCAUAUGUCAAGAUCGGGGUGCCGCAACCAAUGGUCGAGGGCGUGGAGUAUUCCCUGCUCAGUGCCGGGGACAACCACCUGUGUGCACUGCGAAUGCCUGACAAGGGGAUUCCUCACGGUGUUAACCCUGAUACUUCAGUGAUAGAUUGCUGGGGGUACAACAUGACUGCCACACAUGUUGUCGCUGGAGCCGUGUCGACCAUAUCAGCGGGCUCGGUGUUCAAUUGUGCCUUGUUUACGCGCAACAGGACAGUGUUCUGCUGGGGUGAUGAGACAGUGAGUGGUGUGAUUGAGCUGGCUCCGAGGAAUGUCAAGUUUCAGUCCAUAGGAGCAGGUGGCUACCAUGUCUGUGGGGUGCUGGAGAAUGCACAAGUCUUCUGCUGGGGAAGGAGCUUGGAGAUGCAGCAGGUGUCGCCUACCGGUGCUAUCGGUGAAGGCGAUGUGAGCAUAGUGCCGAUGGAUGCAAUGGUCUCCGUUGUGGGCGGACGAUUCCAUGCUUGUGGCAUCAGGAGCCUUGAUCACCAAGUAGCUUGCUGGGGUUUCCAACUUCAGAACAGUACAUCAGCACCCAAAGGUCUCAGGUUGUAUACAAUAGUGGCUGGAGACUACUUUACUUGUGGUGUGCCUGCUGAGACAUCGAUGAAGCCAAGGUGUUGGGGCAAUAGUGGGCCAUUGGCACUACCAAUGGCGGUAUCACCCGGGAUUUGUGUAUCUUCUGCAUGCAGCCCCGGAUACUACGAGUAUGUUAACCAUGGUGAGCUUGGUGGCAGCAAGUCUUGCAAGCCUGGAAACUCUAGACUCUGCUUGCCCUGCAGUGCUGGCUGCCCAGACAACUCGUAUGAGUCCUCGCCCUGCAAUGCCACGGCUGACCGUGUGUGCCAGUUUGAUUGCUCGAGGUGUGUCUCAGAUGAGUGUUUGUCAUACUGCACAUCCCGGAAGCAGACCAACAACCAUAAGUCAAUGGAUUUUCAGAUGCGCAUUUUUGUGGCAGAGAUUGCAUUUGCUGUCAUUUUGAUUUUCACCGUGACAGCCAUUUCUUGCCUAUAUGUACGACACAAGCUUCGAGAUUGCCGAUGUUCGAAGAGCAAGUUGAGGAUGACAAAGAGUGCAACAUACUCUUUUCGAAAGGAUAACACGAAGAUCCAGCCUGACGUGGAAGAUCUGAAGAUCAGGAGAGCUCAGGAAUUUUCCUAUGAGGAGUUGGAACAAGCAACCGAUGGCUUCUCGGAGGAUUCACAAGUUGGCAAAGGCAGCUUUUCAUGUGUAUUCAGGGGCAUUCUGAGAGAUGGGACAGUCGUUGCUGUGAAGCGUGCAAUAAAAGUAUCGGAUGCGAAGAAAAGCUCAAAGGAGUUCCAUACUGAACUUGACCUCCUCUCUAGGCUCAACCAUGCACAUUUGCUCGACCUACUUGGUUACUGUGAGGAUGGCAGCGAGAGGCUCUUGGUUUAUGAGUUCAUGGCUCAUGGAUCCCUGUACCAGCAUCUGCAUGGCAAGGAUUCAAACUUGAAGAAGCAACUGAACUGGACCAGGCGGGUUACCAUUGCUGUCCAGGCUGCUCGUGGAAUAGAGUAUUUGCAUGGCUAUGCUUGCCCACCAGUAAUUCACCGAGACAUCAAGUCUUCAAACAUAUUGAUCGAUGAGGACCACAAUGCGCGUGUUGCCGACUUUGGUCUAUCUAUAAUGGGCCCUGUAGAUAGCGGCACACCACUCUCAGAGCUGCCGGCAGGGACACUUGGGUACCUUGACCCUGAGUACUACCGUCUCCAUUACUUGACGACAAAGUCGGAUGUCUACAGCUUUGGAGUAGUUCUUCUAGAAAUCCUAAGUGGCAGGAAAGCCAUUGACAUGCAGCUUGAGGAGGGCAAUAUUGUUGAAUGGGCAGCCCCGUUGAUCAAAGCUGGGGACAUUUCUGGCAUCCUUGAUCCAGCCUUAUCUCCUCCCUCUGACCUGGAGGCUCUGAAGAAGAUUGCAGCUGUGGCAUGCAAGUGCGUGAGAAUGCGAGGCAAAGACCGGCCUUCCAUGGACAAGGUGACAACAUCUCUAGAGCGUGCACUUGCGCUGCUGAUGGGCAGCCCAUGCCUGGAGCAACCCAUUCUGCCAACUGAAGUUGUUCUCGGGAGCAGCCGGAUGCACAAAAAGGUAUCACAGAGGUCAUCCAAUCAGUCGUGCUCAGAGAACGAGCUCGUUGAUGGGGACGACCAGCGGAUCGAGUACAGGGCACCAUCUUGGAUAACGUUUCCAAGCGUGACCUCGUCGCAGAGGAGGAAAUCAUCAGCGUCGGAAGCCGACCUGGAUGGCCGAACAACCACAGAUGGGAGGAACGUCGGGAGCAGCAUAGGAGAUGGUCUGCGGUCAUUGGAGGAAGAGAUUGGGCCGGCGUCGCCACAGGAGGACUUGUACUUGCAGCACAACUUCUGAUGAAAUGCCAAGAUCAGCUGGAAACACGGAAACCGUCUGCCGUUUUAAGUUCAGACUUUGUGACCUGUUGCUUUGUAGAUCAACUGUAGCAGGCCAUUCGGGAGAGAGGAAGAUCUAGCUAUAUAGAGUACGUACUGGAAGGAUUUUUAGCAUCUGGAGGCAUUUCUUUGUAGAUUGAUUCGGCCGUCCUAUAAUUGGCACUUCUAUUUACGAGUGGGUGGCGACACUUGAUGAAUCCUGUUCUGUAGCUCGCAGAUACGUGUGAAGUGUAAUUUUCAGUGGCCCGGUUCGGGAUUCAGGAGAUUGUCGGUGUGUGUCAUCUGCCAUGAUCUGUUUACGCUGUUGCUUUCGAGACAAUGAACGCAGGUCGUUGAAAAUCAGUUAAUGUUGCUGACUUUGUCAUUAUGUUUGUUACGAGUACUUCUUUCGGAAGCAAGGCGGUAGUACUUUAAAUGUGGUCGAGAUUAGAGUAACACUUUCGGUUGCGGACAUGGAUAAUCUGCUCACGAGCUCAAAUACACAUGCAUGACAGUAACUUUGAUUUU